GCGGAUGUAGUUUAAUGGUAAAAUACCGGCUUCCCAAGCUGGUAAUACGGGUUCGAUUCCCGUCGUCCGCU
This 71-nucleotide transfer RNA is filed under the name Endomicrobium sp. RNAcentral describes it as "tRNA-Gly". It matches the Rfam family "tRNA". From Rfam's summary of the family: Transfer RNA (tRNA) molecules are approximately 80 nucleotides in length. The record is from RNAcentral. Lineage: Bacteria; Pseudomonadati; Elusimicrobiota; Endomicrobiia; Endomicrobiales; Endomicrobiaceae.